This 73-nucleotide transfer RNA is filed under the name Leptosomus discolor (cuckoo roller). It matches the Rfam family "tRNA". Rfam says of the family: Transfer RNA (tRNA) molecules are approximately 80 nucleotides in length. Lineage: Eukaryota; Metazoa; Chordata; Aves; Leptosomiformes; Leptosomidae. The record is from Rfam by way of RNAcentral.
GGCUCUGUAGCUCGGGGGUUAGAGCGCUGGUCUUGUACACCAAGGGCUGUGAGUUCAGAUCUCACUGGGGUGU